CUGAGUGCCUACACAUGCUCCCCAUUAGCUGUACUCCUUAAAUAAUCCUUUUGUUUGUUGUCCUUUGCCAGUGCGUUUUCAGUGUUUUGGAAAUCAGUAGGACAUCACGUCACCACCAUCCUUCAAGCGACGCAGGUGGACAAAAGCGGUAGUGUUCUGCCUUAGGGAAGACUGCGUUACCCAUGAGGACCUGUGCACGGGAUCGUAAAAUCCUGAUGUCUUGGUCGCCUGCAGAUGGAUUCAACGACAUUUUUGUUUCCAGCAGGCGGUGUGAAGGAUGAAUAGUACUGAGUGUCACUUCACCCUUUCCCUUCCCUCACAAUAAACAAAUGAGCACGCUGGUGGGGUCACAGUUCAAGCCUGACACGGGAAGACGCGACGUGACAGGCUUAGGCCACUCGGGCUCCGCAGCAGAUGUUGCCACAGCGAGCGAGGAACAGAAGAUGCUGGUAAUUACCCAGGCUCCCCCGGGAAGGUGGUGACAUGCGGCCGCCACUCCUGGAGAUCACAUGGGCGUCAUUAAAGCUGCGGUUGCAGUUGUUAAUAGGGCGGCUAAUAAAA
Molecule: long non-coding RNA, 561 nt
Organism: Corythoichthys intestinalis (scribbled pipefish)
Lineage: Eukaryota; Metazoa; Chordata; Actinopteri; Syngnathiformes; Syngnathidae
Exons: 3
Source: RefSeq, a predicted model, not a curated record